GACGAACGCUGGCGGCGUGCUUAACACAUGCAAGUCGAACGGUGAAGCUCCAGCUUGCUGGAGUGGAUCAGUGGCGAACGGGUGAGUAACACGUGAGCAACCUGCCCCAGACUCUGGAAUAAGCGCUGGAAACGGCGUCUAAUACUGGAUACGAGAUCAAGCCGCAUGGUUAUGGUCUGGAAAGUUUUUCGGUUUGGGAUGGGCUCGCGGCCUAUCAGCUUGUUGGUGAAGUAAUGGCUCACCAAGGCGACGACGGGUAGCCGGCCUGAGAGGGCGACCGGCCACACUGGGACUGAGACACGGCCCAGACUCCUACGGGAGGCAGCAGUGGGGAAUAUUGCACAAUGGGCGAAAGCCUGAUGCAGCGACGCCGCGUGAGGGAUGACGGCCUUCGGGUUGUAAACCUCUUUCAGCAGGGAAGAAGCGAAAGUGACGGUACCUGCAGAAGAAGCACCGGCUAACUACGUG
Molecule: ribosomal RNA, 468 nt
Filed under: uncultured bacterium
Lineage: Bacteria
Description: partial 16S ribosomal RNA
Rfam family: Bacterial small subunit ribosomal RNA
Source: RNAcentral